This 358-nucleotide unclassified non-coding RNA is filed under the name soil metagenome. Its description in RNAcentral is "partial contains 5.8S ribosomal RNA, internal transcribed spacer 2, and large subunit ribosomal RNA". The stretch from base 1 to 120 matches the Rfam family "5.8S ribosomal RNA", at positions 35 to 154 of the family's 154-position model. The record is from RNAcentral.
GAUGAAGAACGUAGCGAAAUGCGAUAAGUAAUGUGAAUUGCAGAAUUCAGUGAAUCAUGGAAUCUUUGAACGCACAUUGCGCCCGCCAGUAUUCUGGCGGGCAUGCCUGUCCGAGCGUCAUUUCAACCCUCGAACCCCUCCGGGGGGUCGGCGUUGGGGACCUCGGGAGCCCCUAAGACGGGAUCCCGGCCCCGAAAUACAGUGGCGGUCUCGCCGCAGCCUCUCCUGCGCAGUAGUUUGCACAACUCGCACCGGGAGCGCGGCGCGUCCACGUCCGUAAAACACCCAACUUCUGAAAUGUUGACCUCGGAUCAGGUAGGAAUACUCGCUGAACUUAAGCAUAUCAAUAAGCGGAGGA